This is a non-coding RNA of Nicotiana tabacum (common tobacco), 278 nucleotides long. The record is from RefSeq and is a predicted model, not a curated record. NCBI's taxonomy places the organism in Eukaryota, Viridiplantae, Streptophyta, Magnoliopsida, Solanales, Solanaceae.
AUCGCAAAACUUUAAUUGCAGGCAAAAGAUUUUGAUCCAGAUUCCUUAAGGGGUGUAUUACCUAAAGCUGUUUCAUUGCUAGAGUGGGCAAUUUCAGAAGGAAAAGGAAGAGUGUACGUACAUUGCACUGCUGGAUUGGGAAGGGCUCCUGCUGUUUCAAUUGCUUAUAUGUUCUGGUUCUGUGGAAUGGAUCUAAAUACCGCCUAUGAUACACUCACAUCAAAGAGACCCUGUGGGCCCAACAAAAGGUCGAUAAGAGCAGCUACUUAUGAUUUGGC